This is a long non-coding RNA of Plodia interpunctella (Indianmeal moth), 617 nucleotides long. RefSeq lists it as uncharacterized. Lineage: Eukaryota; Metazoa; Arthropoda; Insecta; Lepidoptera; Pyralidae. The transcript is spliced from 3 exons. The record is from RefSeq and is a predicted model, not a curated record.
ACAAAGCUGUCAAUAAACACAAUUUUAUUGUGCCGUUAUACUUGUGCACGAGCUAUACCCAAACGAUAAGAGUAUCUCAGAGCUCCAUCAGCCUCAUUAUCAUAUCAUAUUGUCCCGCAUUUCCUUACAAAGUCGUGUGGAGGCGACAUCGCAACAACUCAUAAAGCAUCUUGGCCAGAUCAUCGCAUCAUAAUGGCGGCUUUUACGACACUCGUAACAGCAUUCUCGAAUGACUAACUUGUAUUCGAUUGGGACAUGGAGCGGAAAAUUGACACUUCCAGUGAAACGACUCUUAGUUUCGAGCCUCCAAGGGCCUGUUUUACUGCCUGAUGAUAAGGUAUCUGACAGCCUUAAUGUAAUAUAUCCAGAUAGUGUUGAAAAUUGUUUUGACCAAUGUUGGAUAGGGCCACCUGAAAAAAUCUUCAGGCAGAUUUAUCUACACAUCCAGUGAAUGUGAAAGUCCACGUGUCUUAUAUCCACGUCCAAAAGAGCGCGUGGCCAACAAUCGUCGUUUGAAUGAACAAGGGACUUUCAGAGUCUCUUUCAGAGUAGUGAGAAUUAAAUAGGUUUAAGUGAGGCGUAGAGCAAAUUGAACGUGACUACUCCGGCCAGGGCGG